CAGUAGCCACGGUAAUACGGAGGGAGCUAGCGUUGUUCGGAAUUACUGGGCGUAAAGCGCACGUAGGCGGUUAUUCAAGUCAGAGGUGAAAGCCCGGGGCUCAACCCCGGAACUGCCUUUGAAACUAGAUGACUGGAAUCUUGGAGAGGUCAGUGGAAUUCCGAGUGUAGAGGUGAAAUUCGUAGAUAUUCGGAAGAACACCAGUGGCGAAGGCGACUGACUGGACAAGUAUUGACGCUGAGGUGCGAAAGCGUGGGGAGCAAACAGGAUUAGAUACCCCUGUAGUCCCUGUCUCUUAUAC
This 301-nucleotide ribosomal RNA is filed under the name uncultured bacterium. Its description in RNAcentral is "partial 16S ribosomal RNA". It matches the Rfam family "Bacterial small subunit ribosomal RNA", at positions 509 to 807 of the family's 1533-position model. The record is from RNAcentral.